This 497-nucleotide ribosomal RNA is filed under the name uncultured bacterium. RNAcentral's name for it is "partial 16S ribosomal RNA". It matches the Rfam family "Bacterial small subunit ribosomal RNA", at positions 28 to 507 of the family's 1533-position model. The record is from RNAcentral.
GAUGAACGCUGGCGGCGUGCCUAAUACAUGCAAGUCGAGCGAACAGACGAGGAGCUUGCUCCUCUGACGUUAGCGGCGGACGGGUGAGUAACACGUGGAUAACCUACCUAUAAGACUGGGAUAACUUCGGGAAACCGGCGCUAAUACCGGAUAAUAUAUUGAACCGCAUGGUUCAAUAGUGAAAGACGGUUUUGCUGUCAAUUAUAGAUGGAUCCGCGCCGCAUUAGCUAGUUGGUAAGGUAACGGCUUACCAAGGCAACGAUGCGUAGCCGACCUGAGAGGGUGAUCGGCCACACUGGAACUGAGACACGGUCCAGACUCCUACGGGAGGCAGCAGUAGGGAAUCUUCCGCAAUGGGCGAAAGCCUGACGGAGCAACGCCGCGUGAGUGAUGAAGGUCUUCGGAUCGUAAAACUCUGUUAUUAGGGAAGAACAAAUGUGUAAGUAACUAUGCACGUCUUGACGGUACCUAAUCAGAAAGCCACGGCUAACUACGUG